UGCAGCAGCUCCUCAGCUGGUUCGACCUCUGCAGCCGGAGACAGACGCGGGUUUAUUCCUCACCACACUCAGCGAGCUC
Molecule: long non-coding RNA, 79 nt
Organism: Cyprinus carpio (common carp)
Lineage: Eukaryota; Metazoa; Chordata; Actinopteri; Cypriniformes; Cyprinidae
Exons: 2
Source: RefSeq, a predicted model, not a curated record